GACGAACGCUGGCGGCGUGCUUAACACAUGCAAGUCGAACGGAAAGGCCCUGCUUUUGUGGGGUGCUCGAGUGGCGAACGGGUGAGUAACACGUGAGUAACCUGCCCUUGACUUUGGGAUAACUUCAGGAAACUGGGGCUAAUACCGGAUAGGAGCUCCUGCUGCAUGGUGGGGGUUGGAAAGUUUCGGCGGUUGGGGAUGGACUCGCGGCUUAUCAGCUUGUUGGUGGGGUAGUGGCUUACCAAGGCUUUGACGGGUAGCCGGCCUGAGAGGGUGACCGGGUACAUGGGGCGUGAGAUAAGGGCUGGGAGGGACCCGGCGGCAGCAGGGGCGAGGCGUGCAGAACGGGCUGCGGCUUGUCAACGUCUGGCGGCGGGCGCGAGGAUGGCGUUAGGGUGGUAAAUAGAUACAGACUGGGAAGCAGCGUGAGUGCCGGGACGGUGUAAAGAAGAAACGGCGAGCUAAGUG
Molecule: ribosomal RNA, 468 nt
Filed under: uncultured bacterium
Lineage: Bacteria
Description: partial 16S ribosomal RNA
Rfam family: Bacterial small subunit ribosomal RNA
Source: RNAcentral